This 2578-nucleotide long non-coding RNA is filed under the name Brachypodium distachyon (stiff brome). RNAcentral's name for it is "long non-coding RNA (BDIS_LNC002784)". Lineage: Eukaryota; Viridiplantae; Streptophyta; Magnoliopsida; Poales; Poaceae. The record is from RNAcentral.
CCCAGUGCAUGAAGAAGGUUCAGGGAUUACUUGGUAAGAGGCUGAGAAUGCGCCUCUGGAUUGUCAAUGAAAGGUUCAGACAUGGGGCUCCGAUCAUCAAGGGUGAACUCAAUGAAAGAUAAUCCAUUCCCUUGUGUUACUCCUUCAGCAAAGAUCACAUCCUUCUCUGAAGGUUCAUACUCAUUGCUUGACACCUCAAUGGCCUGCAAGAAUAUGCCAUGUAUAAGAGAAGUCAGUUGAACAAUUCCAAAGAAAACUGAUUAUGCAUGAUACAAACUUCAACUUCGCCGGCACCCAAAAACAACAAAAAUCUUAUAUGUAAUAGGAAACAGGAACCUAAUAACAUAUAGUUACAUGCUCCCGUAAAAACAGCAGUCAAAUGCACAAUAUGAGUAACGCAUAGUGCGAUCUUAUCAAUGGUGGAGCUAUAUUAAUUUUAAAACUCUCAAGUGCAUACCCUGCUCAAGAAGUACUCAGCAACAUCAGGAAGAAAAUGUAACUCGUCCUUUCUUUUAUAUGUUGCUUGUAUGGCCGGAUCCUUCCACAUCUCAUCAACAAAUGGAGCAUAUUCACGUGUUGCAGCAGGGAAGAAUGCAUCUAGAUCGCCCAUGGCUAUAAUAUCCAAAAGCCAAUCCGAGAAUUUCUUUAUGCUUUUGCUUUUCUCCAGGCAUUUUCCUUUCUUUUUCUUAGUGGAAUCAGUUGUCCUUCCAUUUAACCUGAGGCAGAUGCACGAAGCAAGUGUUUUUGAUAAUCAAUAAAGCGUGCCAAAUGGCCUUUUGUAAUAAAAAAAACCUGAGGUAGAUACGGACAGCGGGUCUUUUUUCUCUCUUCUUUUUAGAACAAACAAGCUGACUUUAUAUUUAAUUAACGAACAACUAGAACGACAACAAAGAUUUCAGAAAAAACGGACGUUAGGCACCAGAUUUCCAGAGUCCUGAUAAUGCCUCAAACCCGCACUUUCUUUCCCUUUACUUUGUUCGGGACUUGUUAUUUCCGUUAUGAAUUAAUGGAAAGAGGAGUAGCAUCUAAUGGUGCCAAAUGACAAAUAGUUUUAACAGAAAUUUACAAGGACAGGCUUACCCACCCUCUAGGUGCAAGCAUUUGCUUAGUUUAUAGAAAACAAGUUCAUAAUAUCAUUCUCUAACAACCAGAAAUCCAUAUCCUCUGUAAUCGACAUCAAUUGCCAUCAUCAUACAGUGCAAUUUUCUAACUCAAGUCCAACCAAUGUAUACAUGUCAGGCUGAAUUGUCAUUCUCAGAUCCAUACUGAAGCUGAUCUACCUGUGUACAGAUUAGAGAGCUACUACAUACAUGCCAGGCUGGGCAAUAACAUCAGGAGACCAAACAAGUCAGGCUUUGGUCUCUCAAGACUCAAGAUACACACACACACAUGAGAAAAUUUCCAAAGGGAUAAUCUGUAAAUUAAUUAUAUUACAAAUCAAUGAUUUCUUUUCGGGGGUAUGGUGCGAAACCGAAUCAGUUGGUGGAAUCAUCGACCGGAGCCUUCGGGUGGGUCUCAUUCCGCUCUGAUAAAAGGAGAGGAGCUCAUCUCGGUGGUGCUGUAGAACGACUCCUCCUGGUAGUAGUUCUCGUCCUUCUCCUCCUCCCACUUGAGGACCUCCCUUAUGUACUUGAACGCCUCGUCGACCGUCUGGCGGUCGCGGCCGCGGGCCUGCCACACGAAGAGCUUCCGGUUCGUGUGGGCAGCGUACAUGUCCUUGAACUUCAUCGCAAUGUAGUAGUACGCCUGCUGGGCGAGAGACUGGUUGUUGUUGUGUGUCCGAACUGGGGAAAAAUCGUUGAACCACUCGCAGGUCGAGAGAGGGGCGCGGUUUAUCUUCUCCUCGAAAAGGUCAUACUUAUUGAGCACCAGAACAAAAGGUGUAUCACAAAAGCAUGGUUGCCUGGUUCAACAGAAGAGAAUGAUUCAUGAUUUUUGCUGACUAAUAAAAUUAGUGAUUUCUAUUUUGAAGACCGUACCAACACCAAGAAUAGCAGUUACGGAAAAAGUUUAGCAUACCGGAUUGUAGCCUCAAAUAACUCUUUGCUUUGUAUCAUCUUGUUCAGAAGAAGCCGGCUAUUGCCAUUUACAGGGGGUCCCACUUGGUCAUAGUCACUGAGUGCUACACAGAAUAUCACCAUGCGGACAUCCUCAAACAUUUCCACCCAUUUGCAACCAUCAUUCAUGCCCUUGGCAUUAACUCUAAUCAGCUGAUAUCUGAGGAGCAAAAUAUAUAAGAUUAAGUGGGCACGAUUUAGAUGAUUUUUGCCCAGUGCAUGAAGAAGGUUCAGGGAUUACUUGGUAAGAGGCUGAGAAUGCGCCUCUGGAUUGUCAAUGAAAGGUUCAGACAUGGGGCUGCGAUCAUCAAGGGUGAACUCAAUGAAAGAUAACCCAUUCCCUUGUGUUACUCCCUCAGCAAAGAUCACAUCCUUCUCUGAAGGUUCAUACUCAUUGCUUGACACCUCAAUGGCCUGCAAGAAUAUGCCAUGUAUAAGAGAAGUCAAUUGAACAAUUCCAACGAAAACUAAUUAUGCAUGAUACAAACUUCAACUUCGCCGGCACCAAAAAACAACGAAAA